RNAcentral lists this ribosomal RNA (380 nucleotides) under uncultured bacterium. Its description in RNAcentral is "bacterial SSU rRNA". It matches the Rfam family "Bacterial small subunit ribosomal RNA", at positions 28 to 410 of the family's 1533-position model. The record is from RNAcentral.
GAUGAACGCUGGCGGCGUGCCUAACACAUGCAAGUCGAGCGAUCUUCUUCGGAAGAGAGCGGCGGACGGGUGAGUAACGCGUGGGUAACCUGCCCUGUACACACGGAUAACAUACCGAAAGGUAUGCUAAUACGAGAUAAUAUACUUUUAUCGCAUGGUAGAAGUAUCAAAGCUCUGGCGGUACAGGAUGGACCCGCGUCUGAUUAGCUAGUUGGUAAGGUAACGGCUUUACCAAGGCGACGAUCAGUAGCCGACCUGGAGAGGGUGAUCGGCCACAUUGGAACUGAGACACGGGUCCAAACUCCUACGGGAGGGCAGCAUGGGGGAAUAAUUUGCGACAAUGGGCGAAAGCCUGAUGCAGCAACGCCGCGUGAGCGAUG